RNAcentral lists this long non-coding RNA (414 nucleotides) under Zostera marina. RNAcentral describes it as "long non-coding RNA (ZMAR_LNC002661)". The record is from RNAcentral. Lineage: Eukaryota; Viridiplantae; Streptophyta; Magnoliopsida; Alismatales; Zosteraceae.
GUAAUUCGCGUUUUAAUUGAAGAUAUGUCCCGUCCCUCUUAUUGAAGGUGAUAAUUUUUGAUCCACAUAUAUAUAGAGGUUGAUUUCCUUGCAGUGUUUUUAGACCAUUUUACAGUUUAUAAAAUGCUAUAUGUCAGAGUAUUUGGCUCCUUCACGUGAGUAAUUUACAAAACUGCUAAUAUAUUAUGUGAGUAAUUUUUUUAUUUAAAUUAUUUUUCUAUUUUUAUCAAUUUUAAAUGUUGAAUAUUUUGUUGUAUUCACAGAUUAUAAAUGGCUUACAAGAAAAAGUUGGUUAAUAAGAAAAGAUUUACAUGAAGGCCUUAAGUUCCAACUCCAACACCAACUCGUCAAGUUCCAAUGUUAUUUUAGAUUAUGAAUGUUACAAUGAAUAAUGUUAAUGAUGUUAUUAUGAUU